GAGUAACUUCGUUGCCGGGCAACCGGACGCUUUAGCAAAAGGCGGCUCGUGUGUCGGAAUUUCCCAUUUUUCAGGGAACAUUGUCUUUUAUGACGGUGAUUCAAAUUAUCUUCUUUUCUGGUUGACGUUUGACCUGGCGAAAUGCAAAAGAGCUGUCUGGGCUCCUGUGAUGUACUGGACGGACACAGGAGGCAGACCCCGAAGUGCAGUAGCCAAAGGGUUUAUUGAAAGAUCCGAGAACAGCCAAAAAUCAGGAGGGGAAUCCAAAAGAAUAGUCGAGGAAUGACGGUCACUGCGGCGCAGUGGAUUACAGAUUUCGAUCUGGAUCAGGGAUUUGUCACGUGUUCCGGCCUAAACCAAUAGCAGCAGUGGGCUCACAAUAUAAAACUUUAUAUUUUUUUCAUUUUGAGAUGUUUCCUGAGAUACAGGGACGAAGUGCAGUUAGGGACAAAAACCGAGAACCUAGAAUAUAUGAAUGAUGAGGAGCAGGCAGGGAAGGAAGAAGAUGAGGGUUAAAGAAGACAAAAGGUGUCCUCCAGCAGCUAUCAGCAGACAUGUCAAGAGAAGACACUGGAUGGUCACUGGUUGUGUAUUCCUCAGAUAGAACAGGGUUGAGGAUCUAAUUUAAAAGUAAACCUCAGGCCUCCACAUCACCCUGACUCGGACAAGUGGUAGGAAGAUGGGUGGAUGGAUGGAAAAUAGAAGUCUGCUACAUUUAUACUUAGUUCUAUGUUAUAAUAAAGUGGGUUUCAAAAAGUCUAGAUACAAGUUCUACAUUUCUUGUUAAGUUUAGCAGACGGCUCCAUGAUUCUGAUCAUCCCGUCCUUCAGCGGCUCCUUGAUGGUGAAGAAACCCCAUCGAUCACCGGGAUGCAUACACGCUAAUAUAUCGACAUAGAGCACCAUCUAAUGUUCACGUUAGGAACUGAAAAUCAGAAAACAUGUAGGUCUUACCGCUCGUCAC
Molecule: long non-coding RNA, 963 nt
Organism: Paramormyrops kingsleyae
Lineage: Eukaryota; Metazoa; Chordata; Actinopteri; Osteoglossiformes; Mormyridae
Source: RefSeq, a predicted model, not a curated record